UUGGUGGUGUCAAGGGAUAUCUUCCGAUUCCUCCCAAAAGCAAAUUCCUGUGCAAACAUAAGAAGGGCCAGACUAGGUCAUACCAGUGGUCCGUCUAGCCCAGUAUCCGACAGCGGCCAAUGGAGGAGCUCCAGAGGGAAUGAACAGAACAGGUGCUGCGCUGGGGGACUCGGUCCAGUCCAGGGAACCCCACCUUUCUGGAAGAGAAGGGGACGCUGUGACCCUCACUUGUUCCUAUGAUACCAGCUCUACCGGCUACGUCUAUCUCUUCUGGUACCGUCAGUUUCCCAACCAAGCCCCGCAGUACAUUCUCUUUAGAGGAGUGAAGCAAGCCAGAGAUGAGAGUAAUACCGCAGAUUUCGCCAAGGAGAGGUUUUCUUCCCAGGCUACUGACAGCUCCACAGCUCUGAGCAUCAGAGCCCUGGAGCUGGCGGACACAGCGGUGUAUUACUGCGCUCUGGGUGUGACACAGUGACAGAGCCACAUAGGACAGACGUAC
This is a non-coding RNA of Gopherus evgoodei (Goodes thornscrub tortoise), 499 nucleotides long. Lineage: Eukaryota; Metazoa; Chordata; Testudines; Testudinidae. The record is from the annotation of a RefSeq genome assembly.